CUGACUGGUGGCGACCGGCGCACGGGUGCGUAACGCGUAUGCAAUCUACCUUAUACUGGAGGAUAGCCCGGGGAAACUCGGAUUAAUACUCCAUGGUAUCACAGAUAGGCAUCUUGAAGUGAUUAAAGAUUUAUCGGUAUAAGAUGAGCAUGCGUCUGAUUAGAUAGUUGGUGAGGUAACGGCUCACCAAGUCAACGAUCAGUAGGGGUUCUGAGAGGAUGAUCCCCCACACUGGCACUGAGAUACGGGCCAGACUCCUACGGGAGGCAGCAGUAGGGAAUAUUGGUCAAUGGGCGAAAGCCUGAACCAGCCAUGCCGCGUGCAGGAUGACGGCCUUCUGGGUUGUAAACUGCUUUUAUAUGGGAAGAAAAAGGCCUUGCGAGGCAAAUUGCCGGUACCAUAUGAAUAAGCACCGGCUAACUCCGUGCCAGCAGCCGCGGUAAUACGGAGGGUGCAAGCGUUGUCCGGAUUUAUUGGGUUUAAAGGGUACGUAGGCGGAUCUUUAAGUCCGUGGUGAAAGCCUACAGCUUAACUGUAGAACUGCCAUGGAUACUGGAGAUCUUGAAUUCAGUUGAGGUAAGCGGAAUUUAUGAUGUAGCGGUGAAAUGCAUAGAUAUCAUAAAGAACACCUAUUGCGAAGGCAGCUUGCUGGACUUGAAUUGACGCUGAGGUACGAAAGCGUGGGGAGCGAACAGGAUUAGAUACCCUGGUAGUCCACGCCGUAAACGAUGAUUACUCGCUGCUGGCGAUACACUGUCAGUGGCCAAGCGAAAGCGUUAAGUAAUCCACCUGGGGAGUACGCUCGCAAGAGUGAAACUCAAAGGAAUUGA
Molecule: ribosomal RNA, 830 nt
Filed under: uncultured bacterium
Lineage: Bacteria
Description: bacterial SSU rRNA
Rfam family: Bacterial small subunit ribosomal RNA
Source: RNAcentral